RNAcentral lists this non-coding RNA (207 nucleotides) under Clostridium sp. RNAcentral's name for it is "T-box sequence". It matches the Rfam family "T-box leader". Rfam says of the family: Uncharged tRNA acts as the effector for transcription antitermination of genes in the T-box leader family. T-boxes are found upstream of many aminoacyl-tRNA synthetase genes and some amino acid biosynthetic genes usually in Gram-positive bacteria. The record is from RNAcentral. Lineage: Bacteria; Bacillati; Bacillota; Clostridia; Eubacteriales; Clostridiaceae.
GAACAUGCGACGACCGGAAGAAGUAAUUCCUCAGGCUGCAAAAGAGAGAAAGCGUCAUCGGCUGAAAGCGCUUUUUGCCAUGCGGAGGAACGAAAUGCGUCCGCGAGCAUGCGGGGGGAACUUUCAGUAUCCCCGCACGGGCAGCCCCGUUACCGGCAUUCAUGAGAAAUAAAGCGGAGUGGAACCGCGGCAGACGCCGCCUCCGUC